Molecule: ribosomal RNA, 119 nt
Filed under: Pteropus alecto (black flying fox)
Lineage: Eukaryota; Metazoa; Chordata; Mammalia; Chiroptera; Pteropodidae
Source: RNAcentral
GUCUAUGGUCAUGCCACCCUGAACAAGCCCGAUCCCGUCUGAUCUCAGAAGCUAAGCAGGGUCGGGCCUGGUUAGUACUUGGAUAGGAGAUCACAUAGGAAGACCAGGAGAUGUAGGUG